GCGAGAGUGGUGAAACUGGCAGACACGCCGGAUUUAGGUUCCGGUGCCUAACGGCAUGAGGGUUCAAGUCCCUUCUCUCGCA
Molecule: transfer RNA, 82 nt
Filed under: Spirochaetales bacterium
Lineage: Bacteria; Pseudomonadati; Spirochaetota; Spirochaetia; Spirochaetales
Description: tRNA-Leu
Rfam family: tRNA
About the family: Transfer RNA (tRNA) molecules are approximately 80 nucleotides in length. Their secondary structure includes four short double-helical elements and three loops (D, anti-codon, and T loops).
Source: RNAcentral